UACGAAGGGGGCUAGCGUUGCUCGGAAUUACUGGGCGUAAAGCGCACGUAGGCGGCUUGUUAAGUCGGGGGUGAAAUCCUGGAGCUCAACUCCAGAACUGCUUUCGAUACUGGCGAGCUCGAGCUCGGGAGAGGUGAGUGGAACUGCGAGUGUAGAGGUGAAAUUCGUAGAUAUUCGCAAGAACACCAGUGGCGAAGGCGGCUCACUGGCCCGAUACCGACGCUGAGGUGCGAAAGCGUGGGGAGCAAACAGG
Molecule: ribosomal RNA, 253 nt
Filed under: uncultured bacterium
Lineage: Bacteria
Description: partial 16S ribosomal RNA
Rfam family: Bacterial small subunit ribosomal RNA
Source: RNAcentral